This 479-nucleotide long non-coding RNA is filed under the name Homo sapiens (human). Its description in RNAcentral is "non-protein coding lnc-WDR63-1:1". Lineage: Eukaryota; Metazoa; Chordata; Mammalia; Primates; Hominidae. The record is from RNAcentral.
CGCGCGAGAAGAGCCGAGGAAGACAGGCCCGAGGCGCGGUUGCACACCGGCAGGUCCAGCACCUCCAUGCCUCGAGGCAUGGCGCGGCCAGGGAGCGGCAGGAGGACACCUAGCGUGGGACGGCUACACCUGUCUGGGCGCAGGCCCGCCGCCCUUGCACUCUCCACCCAAGUGCCCAACGCUGCGGUACGGCCCGCUUUGGCUCGGGGUGUCUGCCGGAGAAGCGCCUUACAGAGGGACCCGGGCGGUGGGCCCUGCGGCAAAGUGGCCCACGCACCCUCCACACCGCUCCCGGGCGGCCGCACCUGGCACUCCCGGCCCUCUGGGGUUCCUGCCUUUUUCGGGGGGGUGGUGGUGAGACCGGGUCUCACUCUGUCGCCUGACCUGCGAUCACUGCUGACUGCAGUCUUGAACUCCUGGACCCAAGCGAUUCUCCUGCCUCCGCCUCCCAAAGUGCUAGGAUUACAGGUGUAAGCCGC